ACGAACGCUGGCGGCUUGCUCAUCCCAUGCAAGUCGAACGGAAAGGCCCUGCUUUUGUGGGGUGCUCGAGUGGCGAACGGGUGAGUAACACGUGAGUAACCUGCCCUUGACUUUGGGAUAACUUCAGGAAACUGGGGCUAAUACCGGAUAGGAGCUCCUUCUGCAUGGUGGGGGUUGGAAAGUUUCGGCGGUUGGGGAUGGACUCGCGGCUUAUCAGCUUGUUGGUGGGGUAGUGGCUUACCAAGGCUUUGACGGGUAGCCGGCCUGAGAGGGUGACAGGCCACAAUGGGACUGAGAUACGGCCCAGACUCCUACGGGAGGCAGCAGUGGAGAAUAGUGCACAAUGGGCGGAAGCCUGAUGCAGCAACGCCGCGUGCGGGAUGACGGCCUUCGGGUUGUAAACCGCUUUCGCCUGUGACGAAGCGUGAGUGACGGUAAUGGGUAAAGAAGCACCGGCUAACUACGUG
RNAcentral lists this ribosomal RNA (467 nucleotides) under uncultured bacterium. Its description in RNAcentral is "partial 16S ribosomal RNA". It matches the Rfam family "Bacterial small subunit ribosomal RNA", at positions 29 to 507 of the family's 1533-position model. The record is from RNAcentral.